UUAACAGGUGGUGAAAGACAUUUGGCUCUCUUUUUAAAGUUCUUUUCUCCUUUUUCUCCCUUUUACAGCUACUUGGGAUGCACCAAGAAACAUUUUCAUUAUCCAGAAGUGAAAUGCACCAUUAGAAGAUGCUGCAUGCAAGACAAGACUGUUGGCAUUUCACUUGAGCUCAGGUCAGUUCCCGCAUCCAGGCAGGGUGAGAGCAGCUUUUAUAGAAACUUUCAGAGUUGAUACUGAGACAGCUGACACCAGUGCACCCUGAGAUACCACUCAUCACAGUGCUUGCUGCACGACCAGAUUCUGCACAGGCUAUUCUUCAGCGAACUACAGCACCACUGUUCCCACUGUCAGCUGAAUGAAGCUGGUGCCCAUCUCAGCAGGAAGUGCUCAGACCCUGUGCAGAGGUUUGGAGAUGUGGAUAGGGAUGGGCAAGCAACUUCCAGGGUUGCCAAGGUUUCCAGCAUGCUAGUCACCUGGAGCCCAGUUCCCAAGUGGGGAUGGACCCACGGUCUCAGGAAGAGGGAAAUGUUAG
Long non-coding RNA from Neopelma chrysocephalum (saffron-crested tyrant-manakin), 532 nucleotides. RefSeq lists it as uncharacterized. Lineage: Eukaryota; Metazoa; Chordata; Aves; Passeriformes; Pipridae. The transcript has 2 exons. The record is from RefSeq and is a predicted model, not a curated record.